ACGCUCGACACCUACAGGAGGCAGCAGUGAGGAAUAUUGGUCAAUGGGCGCUAGCCUGAACCAGCCAAGUAGCGUGAAGGAUGAAGGCUCUAUGGGUCGUAAACUUCUUUUAUAUAAGAAUAAAGUGCAGUAUGUAUACUGUUUUGUAUGUAUUAUAUGAAUAAGGAUCGGCUAACUCCGUGCCCGCAGCCGCGGUAAUCUGAGCGGGCUGGCAAGGC
This 218-nucleotide ribosomal RNA is filed under the name uncultured bacterium. RNAcentral's name for it is "partial 16S ribosomal RNA". It matches the Rfam family "Bacterial small subunit ribosomal RNA", at positions 328 to 539 of the family's 1533-position model. The record is from RNAcentral.